This 393-nucleotide ribosomal RNA is filed under the name uncultured bacterium. RNAcentral's name for it is "partial 16S ribosomal RNA". It matches the Rfam family "Bacterial small subunit ribosomal RNA", at positions 523 to 918 of the family's 1533-position model. The record is from RNAcentral.
AUACGGAGGAUGCAAGCGUUAUCCGGAUUUAUUGGGUUUAAAGGGUGCGUAGGCUGUCUGUCAAGUCAGGGGUGAAAUGCCACAGCUUAACUGUGGAACUGCCUUUGAUACUGGCAGGCUGGAAUACGGAUGCCGUGGGAGGAAUGAGUAGUGUAGCGGUGAAAUGCAUAGAUAUUACUCAGAACACCGAUUGCGAAGGCAUCUCACGAAUCCGUCAUUGACGCUGAGGCACGAAAGCGUGGGGAUCAAACAGGAUUAGAUACCCUGGUAGUCCACGCAGUAAACGAUGAUAACUAACCGUUGGCGAUAGACAGUCAGUGGCCAAGCGAAAGCGAUAAGUUAUCCACCUGGGGAGUACGUUCGCAAGAAUGAAACUUAAAGGAAUUGACGGGG